RNAcentral lists this unclassified non-coding RNA (307 nucleotides) under plant metagenome. RNAcentral's name for it is "partial contains 5.8S ribosomal RNA, internal transcribed spacer 2, and large subunit ribosomal RNA". The stretch from base 1 to 105 matches the Rfam family "5.8S ribosomal RNA", at positions 50 to 154 of the family's 154-position model. The record is from RNAcentral.
GAAAUGCGAUAAGUAGUGUGAAUUGCAGAAUUCAGUGAAUCAUCGAAUCUUUGAACGCACAUUGCGCCCUUUGGUAUUCCAAAGGGCAUGCCUGUUCGAGCGUCAUUUGUACCCUCAAGCUUUGCUUGGUGUUGGGCGUCUUGUCUCUAGCUUUGCUGGAGACUCGCCCUAAAGUAAUUGGCAGCCGGCCUACUGGUUUCGGAGCGCAGCACAAGUCGCACUCUCUAUCAGCAAAGGUCUAGCAUCCAUUAAGCCUUUUUUCAACUUUUGACCUCGGAUCAGGUAGGGAUACCCGCUGAACUUAAGC